This 253-nucleotide ribosomal RNA is filed under the name uncultured bacterium. Its description in RNAcentral is "partial 16S ribosomal RNA". It matches the Rfam family "Bacterial small subunit ribosomal RNA", at positions 524 to 776 of the family's 1533-position model. The record is from RNAcentral.
UACGGGGGGGGCAAGCGUUGUUCGGAAUUACUGGGCGUAAAGGGCUCGUAGGCGGCCAACUAAGUCGGAUGUGAAAUCCCCAGGCUCAACCUGGGAACUGCAUCCGAUACUGGAUGGCUUGAAUUCGGGAGAGGGAUGCAGAAUUCCAGGUGUAGCGGUGAAAUGCGUAGAUAUCUGGAGGAAUACCGGUGGCGAAGGCGGCAUCCUGGACCGACAUUGACGCUGAACGGCGAAAGCUAGGGGAGCAAACGGG